CCAGAUUAUUUGUCCCGACCGCCCAUGAGAAAAUGAGUUACGAACGUGUACUCAUAGUUCUUUCCUUGAGAGACACCGUGGUUUGCUAACGAGCGAAGCAUCGCCGUUGCUUAGUGUUUGGAUGUACAAAUGAACACAAAAGUCUAUAUUUUGUUCAUUAAUCCGAGCCGCUGAAGAACCAGUGGGUUAAUUGUAUUGUCUCUGGAAAUGCGCCAGUCUGCGCCAAACAUUUCACUGACGACUGCUUCCUCAACUUGGGCGAAUACAAAGCUGGACUUGCUCAACGUCUGAAAAUCAAGUCUGGAUCAAUAAUAACUCUCCUCGGCUCAGCUACAAACCUCGAAAAAGCCAGCUCAUCAAGUGCUUACAUUCAGCAGCUUCUUUCAAGGGAUGUCGCCUGCCAGAAAGAACAUCUGGAAACGUAUAUUUGUAGGCACACAGCUAUCCUUAAAGUCUUUGCAGCCCCAUUUUAAAAGCUGCGAUGCCUUUAGAGACCGUAGCACUCAUCGCAACGCCACCUCAGAGAUUCUGGGUGAGGACGCCCCGGGAGGGCCCUUUAGUGACGGACGGCCAUGACACCCUCUUCACCGCGUCUGAAGUGGAGGCCCUGAACUCGCUGUCUGCAGACCACAGCGUGGCCAAGAGCCUGGAGCGCGGCGAGCGGCUGGUCUGCCGCGAGGAGCUGAGUGUGCAG
Gadus morhua (Atlantic cod) is the source of this 694-nucleotide long non-coding RNA. RefSeq lists it as uncharacterized. Lineage: Eukaryota; Metazoa; Chordata; Actinopteri; Gadiformes; Gadidae. The record is from RefSeq and is a predicted model, not a curated record. The transcript is spliced from 3 exons.